Molecule: long non-coding RNA, 1236 nt
Filed under: Anser brachyrhynchus (Pink-footed goose)
Lineage: Eukaryota; Metazoa; Chordata; Aves; Anseriformes; Anatidae
Description: lncRNA (ENSABRG00000019360.1)
Source: RNAcentral
UACAGAGGAAAUGGAAGUCAGAGUGCUCAAAGUCCAUCUCUUUUCAUGCUUGUUCCCGUAGAAAGCUGUGAUUUCUGCUAUGACAUCCAAAGUCAUGGCCAGUUAAGUCACAGUUGAAUUGUAGUGGUCUGAUAUAUGCAUCAACCACCCUCAAGCUGGUGAUCUUGCUACUCCUCGUGCGUGACCUGUCACAGUGAUGUUCAAAGGACACCUGUGCUAUUUAUAAUAAAUAUUAUCAGACUGAAUUCCACAAACAAAUGCCUUUGCCUUUUGCAGAAUCCUUUCCCUCACCUGUGAAAAAGAGUAAUGCAGCUAGAGAAGUGGCUUUAAUCUUGACCUGAACAGGAUGUGGCUGUUGCCAGCAGGAGGGCUCUGCAGAUUACUGGCAGCUUGUCUCUCAGAUGCUGGCAGACAAGUACUCAGUCUAGUACCAACAUGCUAGGCGGAUUGUCUAGCUCCUAUAGCCUGACACCCAACAGACGUAUCAAGAUGGAAUCUGGAAUUGCUUUAAAGCCCUGGCUUUUUCCUUUAUUUUUACAGUGCUGUCUGACUGCAGCCCUCAUUGCCCUGCAGUUGCCCCGAUGUGACCUAUGCAGCACACUGGUGCCCUUUUGUGCAUAACUUCUUUGUGCCAUGCAGCACCAUCGUGGCCACACCAGCAGACCAGACCAUCUGGCAAAGAGGCCUCUGUCAUUGCUGAGAAGGGGAACAUCAACCAGAACUGUGCUUUGCAGGACACACCUGCCUGCAGACCUGAAAAUUGUAUCAGCUGGUGGCAGGAAGUGAGAUGAAACCCCUAUAAUCCCAUGGGAAACUGUAAGAAACUUCUUACAUCUUUUGAAUAUUCAUAAGUCUAUGGGGCCAGGCAGGAUCCAAUCCACCCAAGGGUACUGAAAGAGCUGGUGGAAGUGCUCGCCAAGCCACCUUCAGUAGUUUUUUAGCAGUCCUGGCUAAAUGGGGAGGUUAACUAGGAAUGUGACACCCAUCUACAAGAAGGGCAGGAAGGAAGGAAUCCAGGGAACUACAGGCCUAUCAGUCUGACCACAGUGCUGGGAAAGGUGAUGGAUCACCCUGAACUGGUCAGAUCAUCCUGAGUGCCAUCAUGAGGCACUGGCAGCCUCUGGUUUGCAGAGUGCACUACAGAUGGGGAAUGACAGCACUGCACUAAUUUCUUUACUUUGGUGUAGAUAGGUCUAUUGUAACAGAAGGCCUUGUAUAGCACAUGGCAUCUUCCAC